CCGCGCUCCUCCGGGCAGAGCGCGUGUGGCCGCCGAGCACAUGGGCCUGCGGGCCGAGCGGGCUCGGGGAGGCCGGGACGAGGAGGGGCGACGAGGAGCUGCGAGCAAGGAUGUGCCUCGGGACCCCCCGCACCUUCCCGUGGAUUUCCUUGCUGAAAGGAUGUUGGUGGACCCUGUGACCUGUGGAGACACGGCCAGAUCUGCCCUCCAGCCUGAUCUUUUGGCCAGAAGGAGAUUAAAAUGAUGCCCCUUAAGAUGGCUGUGCCUGUCAGCUGCAUGGAGCUUCGUUCGAGUAUUUUCUGAGCCUGAUGGAUUUACAGUGAUCUUCGGUCGUCUGAGGAAUAACUCUGGUGGAACAAUGCACUGGAAUGACACACGCCCUGCACAUUUCAGGAUACUAAAAGUGGUUUUGAAGGAGGCCCUGGCUGAAUGCCUCAUGGAUUCUUACAGCUUGGAUGUCCAUGUGGGAUGAAGGACCGCAGCUGGCUGCGAGGACUGAGAUCUCUGUUUACUUGGGUCUCUGCCAACUUCCUUUGGGUCUCCCUAUGGAAUGUAAGACCCCGACUCCUCCUGGUGAAGCGUCUGAUGCAUGUUCCGUCCGGCGCUCAGCUGGGCUUGAGAAUCCUGUUACACUUGGGAUUUAGGCACUUUCAAUCUGAAAAAAACAUAUCCCUUCAGCACUCUGGAUGGACUUGAGAAUUGUCCUUACCUGAACUAAAGCUGGAGUAUUUUGAGAUUGGAGAAUUAAGGACAGGAAAUUGAGGCUGUUCCCUUGACCUCUCCAGACAACUUCGUGGUGACUUCAAGCCCUCUUAUGAGGUGGUGGAUCAUAGCUACCGUUGAUUGAGAAGGACAGAAUAAUGGGCUCCAGAUUCACAAGCCCCACCAAGAGGAUCACCCCAGGAACCCUUGGAGGCUGAGGAAUUCACUGAGGCUAGUGCAUCUCGAGACUCAGGAUGAAGACCCAACUUGGGGCUGUCAAAGGUGCAACCUGCCAGCUGAGACCUCCAAGGGUCGAGCCCGGGCCCCUUUGCCUUGUUCAUGGCUUAGGCCAGUGCUUAGCAUAUAGUAAACAACUUGUAAAUGUUUAUGAGAGGAUGUGUGGGGGGUCAUCCCUUCGGAAUGGCACACUGUCCAUUAUCAUUGUCCUCAGAGGCUCCAGCCUCAGGUGCUUCUUAAACUUCGAUGGGAAUGAUGGCAGCAGGUGGGUCCAGGGCUCAGCACGAGAGCUCACAGCAGGCUGUGCUCCACCCCACGCAGGCCCCCAGUCUUGCCAUGUUUCCUCUGCCUCACCAGGCUGGCCUAGAAACUGCUUCCAACUGAAGCCAGCCAACAUGCCUGCCCCUAACCACACCUGCAACUCUAGGGUCACCGUUAGUCUAGAUUAGGGGCCCUUAAACUGUAGCCUUUGCCGGGCAUGGUGGCUCAUGCCUGUAAUCCCAGAACUUUAGGAGGCCGAGGCGGGUGGAUCACUUGAGGUAGGAAGUUCGAGACCAGCCUGGCCAACAUGGCGAAACCCCGUCUCUACUAAAAAUACAAAAAUUCACCAGACAUGGUAGCGCACACCUGUAAUCCCACCUACUUGGAAGACUGAGGCAAGAGAAUCGCUUGAACCUAGGAGGUGGAGGCUGCAGGGAGCUGAGAUCACACCACUGAACUCCAGCCUGGGCAACAGAGUGAGACUCCCUCUCAAAACAAACAAACAAACAAACAAAGAAACACUACAGCCUUUGGGCUAAAUCUGGUCAGUGUUCUGUGCUUGUAAGAACUCUGAGUUAAGAACAAUUUUUACGUCUCUCUAAAGGGUUGAAGAAUACAAAAAGAAUAUUUAACAGAGACCAUCUGGCUAGCAAAGCCUAAAAUAUUGACCCUCUGGUCCUUUACAGAAAAGGUGUGCCGGUCACUGGACUGGGCAGUGCCGACCGCACCCCGGGCUCCCUGUGAAAAUUUCAACCAUACACACUCAUCUCCUUUCUCUUAUCAACACUGAGGCAGGUGAGAUUAUCAUUCCUUGUAAACAUGGAGAAACUAAGGCACAGAGAGGCUUAACUCAUUUACCUGAGAAUCUAUUAAGUAACAGAGCCAGGGUUCCAACCCAGGCAGUCUAGCUUCAGAGUCCAUACCUCCUAGCUGCACUCUGGGCCAUCAGCGUAGGGACGAGCUUCAGACAAGAACUCCCCUCUUAGUUUCCGCCCUAUCCUGCCCCACAGCCAGUGGACAGGCAUUUUGCACCCCAGCCUCCCCCAGCCAGCUCCUCCUCAGAGAUUUCCUGCAGGGACUUAGACGGGGCUCUGGGACCAUCCUCCUUUUCUGCCCCACCCGGCACCUGGAACUCUGCUUGAUCCUGCUCCCUCUAAGGCUGGACACGUCUCCAUGAGCCAGGCCUGAAGUUGUUCCCCUCUCUGGACCUCAGGACCUCCCUUCCUAGGAGCAAUUCCUGUAUCCCCUAUCCUCUCUGCCUUCCCCUCUUCCCACCAUGUCCUUCCAAUAAGGGGCUGGAUUUGUAGUGUGCAGCCUUGGGAACAGGGUUGGGCUCAGGGAUUGGGAGCAGAGGCCCAGGGCUCUGACUGACCCUCUGUCAUCCCCAGGAGGAGAAGCUGCUGUAUUUAGAGUGUCACAAAGAAUAGUGUUGGAGGCUUCAGAAACCAUGGGAGAUUCUGAACUUCUAGGCUAAGCAGAUGGGAUGGUGUCUCUGUGAUCAACAGGCCUGGUAGAGGGAGGCAGGAGGGGGUGAGAAUGGAAAGACAGCUGCCAAGGGGAACAGAGAGCUUUUCAAGUCACCGUUGUCCCCUCCCCACCUCACCAUCAGGGCUAAGACUAAACCUAACCAUCCGGUUGCAGCCCCUCGGCCCUGGGGAUGGAGAUUAGUGUGCAUAGAAUGAAGGUACAGAGGCCAUGUUCUGGCUGUGUGACCUUGCACAGGUUGCAUAACACUCUGUGCCUCACUUUACUCAUUUUUAAAAUGAUGAAGAUGAUAACUACCUGGCAGGGUCUUAUAUUAGAGAUAAUACGGUUCCCAGCACUUUGUAAGCACUCGGUGUGAAAUUGUCUUCUGCUGCUUCCCUUAUCAGUCCACCCCUCCUCUGCAGAGGUUUCCUCCAUGCUGAGCAAGCUGGCAGUAACUAAGGCCCUGCUGGGCGCAUCCCUAGUGCCUUCUGCCCAGGCCUCGGGACCCCCAGGGAUCCUGGCCCCUGUGGACAGGGACUUUUGUGCUCUCCUUCACUGUUACCAGCAAGAGUGAGUCCUGCACUGAAUUUCCAUGGAUCAUUGUUUGCUAACAUUUGUGUGUGAGUUACCGUCUAGAAAGCAGCUUUUCUGGCCUUUUCCCAUUAAUUUCACGAAAGUUAUCUUCCUUUGCCGUUACUGCAGUCCUGUGAGAGGUUCAUUACCCCAUUUUACAAACAACUAAUUGCUCCCAGAUGAAGUGACUCCCCCGGGGUCGCCUAGCUAAGCAGUGGAGAGUGGGUCUCCCACCCGGCCCUCUCACUGUGACUCCUGUUCUCCGCGUCAUUGCAUAUGGCGACAUGUGGGUCACGUUUUCACACAUCCCUGGCUGAUAUGGAAUGGUGAGCUUCUCCUGGGUCUUCCGAGGAGGGAUGCUUUCAGGGGUGUUUUGGAAUGAAGGCAGUGGAGGCCAAGAGACCUCUAGGUCAAAGCCAGGCAGGAGGGUCCUCUCAGGGACCCAGCCAACAAGUUGCAUUUCUCCCCCAGAGGCUUGAAGAGGCAGAACACCCGAGAGGAGUCUGGGGCCACCACCCAGCGUCACUGGGAAAACGGCAGCAGGAAAUGUUCUCUCACCUGCGUGCUCCACCUCUGUCCACGCCUUCCCUCCUUCUGGAAGCCUUGCCUGACCACUGGCCUGCCCCUUCUAUGGGAAUCGCUGCUGACCUUGCAGCUCACUGUAGACUUAUAUGUAUGCAGAAAUAUAAUUUUAAUUACUUUUGUAUUGCUCCAAGAGUGAUACCGAAUCACAACAGAAAAUUUAAAUAAACAAACUAGCCAAAUUAAUACAAGCAAUCACCCCAGUCAAAUACACCCAGCUCACAUUUUGAUGUAAAAUCUUCCAGUACAUUUCCUAUGUACAUAUAUAUUUUUAGGAAGGAGAUUAUAUUUUACAUGCUGUUUUCUAAAACGUUCUUUUAAAACUGUGUCAUAAACAUUUUUCCUUAUAAUUAAAUCGUCUUCUACAAC
This is a long non-coding RNA of Macaca fascicularis (crab-eating macaque), 4191 nucleotides long. Lineage: Eukaryota; Metazoa; Chordata; Mammalia; Primates; Cercopithecidae. The record is from Ensembl.